AAGGAGGAGCCGAGCUCUCGUGGAGGCUUUUGAUGCUGCACACAAAUGCCCUCUUGUUGGAGACGAGUGAGCAGGGCUCCGCUGCAGGGGCUCGUGCUGCUGCUGAAAAGAGAACAGAAGCCAUGUGCUCCUGCCUCAGAGGAAAGGUACCAAAUGGACCAGACUUAGCAUCUCUUCUUGAUGAUUUCAAAGGAGCUCUAGGAGUCCUGAUGAGCUCCGUGAAGUUUCACCCGAAGCUGGGAUGUCUAGGAUCCCUCAGAAGGUGGAAGUGGCAGGACGCAGACGCUUCCGUGCUGCUGGGAUGGGAGCUGCCUCCAGCAAGACGGGGUUCACUGCAGAGGAUCCCCCAACACAGAGCAGCUGCCUGUGCACACACCCACCUCCCCUCGCUGCACUCUCUGAGCAUCCCCCGUUCUUAAUUCUCUGACUUGACUACAUUGAUUUAUUGAAUUAAGUGUGCCUGCUACAUCAUCUCAGACACAUGCAGGGUAACCCCUCGAGGUGGCUCCGUUGUUAUCCCGAUGCCUGCCUCCUUGACCUUGCAACAGGAAUAGCACUUCCCCAUGUUGUUAAACAUUGGCGAGCCAGAAUUUUUCUUCCUUUAACGUAUAUAAGAACAUUCCAGAACCUGCUCGAUAUACUCCUUAACACUUAGAAUAGCUUGCCCGGGAAUUGCUGGGGUGUAGAAGAUACCCACAGGUAGCUUACUCUGGAACUGCCAGGGCGUGUCCUAGGGCGGCCCAUGAGCCCACCGUCCCAUCAGCAGGGCACGGGUUCCGGUAUCUGCACCCGCCCCUGGCACUCAGCAUCGCAGUGCCUGCUCAUUUGAGCCAAGCUAAUAGGUGUCAGGAAUGUCUCAGCAGUUUUUAUUGGCAUUGCUGUGAUUGCUCAUGAGGCCCUGGACCGCUGCGCUUGCCCUGCCCUCAGCUUGGCCCCUCUCCCGCCCCGGACUCACUCUCUCUUCUGCGCGUCUUUCAAGAUUCAGGACAGACAUUUGUCCCUGCAGUGGGCUCUGGUGCCCGGCCUCUCCCCUCUGCUCCGCAGGCCGCCCUUCCAGAAUAGCAGCUAAAGGCAUGUUUUCAGGUCUGGAAGCUCAUAUGGCUGUGAUCAAAGCCUGUUCCAUCACCUACAGGCUGAGAAACCUCAACCAAGGGCCUUAACUAAGUCUCUGAGCCUCAGAGUCCUCACCUGCAAAUGAGGGGUUAAAAAUAGUACUCCCCCCCCCCAGGGUUGGAGUGGGAGUACAAAAAAAAAAAGGAAAAAGCUUAAUUCUGAGCGGUGGGGAUACAGACUGUCACCUGCCUCCCCCAGCCCCACUCUCUUUUCUACUUCUACUAGUUGUAAUUACAGUGUAAGCCUCUGCCGCCCCCCCCAAAAAAAAAUCUCCUGGGAGAGAAUUUUCUUGACAAUUUCCUGAGCUUAUUUAUGCCAAGUAUUUGGCGUACAGCAGGGCUGAAUUCACGGUAGCCACUGGGUUUCAGCGCCCAUGCGGUCCUGCGUUGCCAUCAGACCGGCUUCCACAGCCUGGAAGGAGUCGCGGGUGGAGCUGGAUUUGCUGCAUUUUUAUAUUUUCAGCUCCUGGCAGUGUUGGGUAGAUAGAAAGCCCUGGAACAAAUCUUGUCAGCCUCUCUGGAGGAGAUUUAAGCAUCAAAUAGUGGGUUGGUCUAGAUGCUUUUUCAAAGUCUCUUCCAGCCCUGAAAUUCUGUGAUCAGGAAAUUACCCAGGAAAAAGUUCCCUUUGCAGGCUUCUUUCUAAGGUUUCUAAAUGGGGCUUUAUUACACACUGCAGGUAAUUAUAGAGGCUGAAGCGGCCUCAAGGAGCUCUGUGUGGCCUGGUGUCGCUGGUUGGUACAUUUCAGAGGCUAUCAUCUUUCCGCUGACCAGGGGAUCGGAAUCCUGACCAGGGGAUCGGAAUCCUGGCAAAGGCAGGCCCUCUCUUCAGCAGGGCAGUGGGAGGUGGCCCCGGAGGACGCGUCCUCUAGCUGGCAGCCCUCCACUCUCUGCUCCAGGGGAAGCCAGCACUAGUGGUGUGUGAAUAAUAUCAGGAAAGUCACAGAAAGCAGGAGCAAAGGAGACCUUGGGGACACCCAGUUCAGGAGGCACAACCUCUCUGUUCACAAGGACCGUGUGGGUUAUAUGAACAGAUAAAGAGACCUGGGUAGGGCAAUAGGGAGUAGUGGGGCCUGUGACAGACUAGAAAACUGAUCAGUUUCUGCUCAGCCCCUGGGGUUGUUGGUUUGGGGAACAUGGGCUCAGGGUUCCUGGAUCUGCCCCUGCUUUACCAAAAGAAGAGCUAGAGGUCCAGGGUUUUAUGUAGCUCUUUCUGAUUUUUGAAAGUUAGAGCUAAUUCAAAGUUUUGUCAGUCGGGGUAUGGCGCAGACAAAAUAGGCUUGCGAGGCUUGUGAGUUUCCAUAUCCUCUGAUUUAGCAUGACAUUUGGCAGAUUGGGAAACUGAGGUACAGAAUGGGGGAAUUUGGCAAAGUUUCCUGGGGAGGCUUUGACCUUGAGGGACAUAAAGAAUGGUCUGGCAUCCCAGGGGGCUCCUAACCCCACCUUCUCCCAAGGCAGGACCUGAGGCCCAGAGAGGGAAGGAGGCUAGCUCUGUGUCACACAGCUGGUAAUGGCAGAGUCUGGGGUAGGGCUGGGGCUUCUGGGCCCUCCUCCAUGGGACUGUCCACCAACGGUACUGCCAGAAAUGACCCUGGAAUGGUUUUGGUAAAGAGCAUGGCAGAGGGCAAGUUCUGACUUGUCGUCAGGCAGCAGGAAAAGGCUGGCCCAUGAGAGGCAGCUAUGCCAGGGAACUCCCCCUGUGCGGGGGAUCUGUUUGUGCAUGCGCUGAACUAACCCUUUCAGCUCUGAAGGUGCACAGGUCAGCCUGGGGGUGGGGGGACAAGAGGUCUGGAAAAUGGAGAAGACAGUGGGGAGGAGGAAGGUGAAUCAUCCCCAAAAGACAUCAAGGGAGGGGGGUCACUGCGCCAUGGAGUGUGAGUAGGGUUGGCUGUCCAGUGAGAGGAAGCUGGAUUUUGCCCAGAGGGCUUUGGAUUGGCCAAGGGGCCAGUGUAGAAAUGCCCACUGUGGGCUCCCUGUCUCUAAAACUCUGGGAGAGCCCAAGCUUGAAGAGAAGGCCUCAAACCCUGGACCCGAAAGGCAGGGUCUUGGCAGGCAGACCCUGCGAUGUCCGGACCCCAUGUCACUCCCAACAGUGCAGGACCUCGCCAGCCCCCCACCCCAUCCAUUCCAGCCUCGCUCAUCUGCUCAGAGGCCAGGGCUUCAGAGGUCGGUCAGCGUGGUUAUCCUUCAAAUCCCAACAUGUAGGAAAUGUCUCUUUGCUGCUUGAAUCACUCCGAUGGGUAGUGAGGUUGAACCGUUCUUUAUAGUGCAGGGGUCACCUGCAUUCCUUUUGUGUUGAUUUGCCUUUCAUGUCCUUUCCGCAUUUAAAAAAGAAAGAUUACUUCAAGGCAUUUGAUCCCACAGAGCAGG
RNAcentral lists this long non-coding RNA (3479 nucleotides) under Sus scrofa (pig). RNAcentral describes it as "lncRNA (ENSSSCG00000054306.1)". The record is from RNAcentral. Lineage: Eukaryota; Metazoa; Chordata; Mammalia; Artiodactyla; Suidae.